UGAAGUGUAGAUGACAGAAGAGUAGCGCAGAAGCUCUGGUAGCUGGAUGACCACGUGACUCUGAUGUGCGUCCUCCCCACCCAUGUUGGUCACAGUCACCUCCAAGGCGACGUCCUUACCGGAGGGCGUGAUGGCCGCAACACCGUCCUCUCUAAAGACCACUCAAAGAGGUUGAGUACGGGAGCGGCGUCAUGAAGACUUGACCUCGUCGCUUCGCUGGAGCUUGUGAGAGAGCGACUUACAGACACAGUGAUGCUGUGCAGUCUGUCUCUGAUAUCCCGCUGCAACCAAACACUUCUGGGUCAACACAACUGAACUACACAGUACCAUACGUAUUAUUUCAGAUUUAAAACUCAGUUUGCUGACAAACCGACCCAUCGCUGUUGAGAUCCACCACAGCCACGUCGUAUCCGAAGGAGGAGGCCAGCCCAGGACCGGAGAGGACCAACUCUACAGACAAACUUCUCGUGGCUGAACGGUCCGCUUUAAGAAAGGUCACCUGACCGCUGUAACCUCCUCUGGGCGCUCCUGAUACGACGGUAGCUAUUUCUUCGGAGAGGAAUGAGUCUGGAGUCAAAGCGGUCGAUGUCCCCGGUUUCUCGGGUGUCCUCACUGGAGAUGUCCAAGUUGUCCAACAGCUCCAUCCGCACGAGUCCUUUUGAAAGAACCCACGGAAACUUAACCCUCAGGGAAAUACAUCCAUCAAUUGCAUUGGAGCAGUGCCACAGAGUUAAGAGUGUAUCACAAUUGUAUAAGCGUCAGUAUUGUUUUCAAAAUUUUUUGCUCAAAUUUCUCAAUUUGAUCUAAUUAUGUCAGUUUUAUUUUAUUUUGAAAGAUUUAUAUAAAAUGAGUUUUCAGUGAGUAUGCAUUAGAUUGGUAAUAAAACAAAUUUUGAUGCUGUCAUGAUCCGUGGUCCGGGUCAUGUUUUUGUUAUGUUCUGUUAGUUUUGGACUGCACUAGUUCCUGUUUUUUGUGCACUCUCGUUUGUUUUGGUUGCCAUGGUUGCGUAUUAGUUUCACCUGCCUCUUGUGUUCGGGACGCUCACCUGGCUCUAAUCAUGAGACAUUAUUUAAGCCUGCCUUUGCGAGUCA
Long non-coding RNA from Nerophis lumbriciformis (worm pipefish), 1091 nucleotides. RefSeq lists it as uncharacterized. The record is from RefSeq and is a predicted model, not a curated record. NCBI's taxonomy places the organism in Eukaryota, Metazoa, Chordata, Actinopteri, Syngnathiformes, Syngnathidae.